Phalacrocorax carbo (great cormorant) is the source of this 8442-nucleotide non-coding RNA. NCBI's taxonomy places the organism in Eukaryota, Metazoa, Chordata, Aves, Suliformes, Phalacrocoracidae. The record is from RefSeq and is a predicted model, not a curated record.
AAUAACUGCUGUACCAGACUUCAAACACAGAGAGAAGGGGAAAUCAAAAAAAGCCAGUUACUUUGUUUAACUUUAAAAAGUUGUCUGUUUUUUACCAAGUAGCCUGUGUCUGGCUUUUGGGUUGUCCGGCCUUAAUUUUAUGAGUAUUGUUUUGGAAAGGCUUGCUUCUUUUUCUUUGUUUCAGCUUGUCUUGUCUUUCUUUUUCAUUGUUGUGCAUCUUGCAAACUAGUGCAAUUUCAGGCCUCGUACAGAACAGUCCUUUGCCUAAGCCACCCUGCUGUGGCCACGGAGGAAACUGCUACGCCGGGAAGUCGGUUCUCCUAAUUCAGCCCUUGGUUAUGUACUGAACAAUACCUAAGCCUUAUUCUGUGACAGUUUUUGUCCAGCUCUUUGGUUGUAUUUAAGCAGUGCAGCCCAGAAAACACACUGAAUUUUUUUUUCCUUCUGUCUAAACGCAGAGAAUAUAAAUGGAGUAACUUGGUGCGUGAACUACUCAAAACAAAUUACACCUGCUUCCCUCUCAUACUAAGAUGCCUGAAGUAAGCUUUGAAUUUGCAGGCAGUCAGGCUUGUUUCCUCUGGCAAGAGGCUUGAUGUGUGCUGGCAUGGUGAUCCCUGGAGAGCUACUGUGGUUUUUUGCAGGGGCAGGCAGGGAGGAGGAAGUUUCUUGUCCCUGUGCUUAUCUUAUACUGUCUACAGUGCAACUAUAGGAAGGCCUAGGCGUUGCCUGCAGCCAGUGUCACUGGAUUUUUUCUUGAAGGAUCUGAUUACGCCUCGUUUCUCCCCUGCUAUUAGAACUUCUAUCUUCUCUGGAAGUGAAGUGCAAAGCGGUUCCUAUAGGAAUAAACACUCCUGUAAUUCUGUAAUGCAUCUGACUGAGGCAGCCAUUCUGGAAGAGGCAUUUAAGAGUUAAACCCAAGCAGCUGCCGCUUUAUUUGAAGUGGCUUGUAAUUUUCUUCCUUUGAUGCAAAGUGGGGAAUGUAAUCAAGAUGGCUGAAUAGAGAAUUUUAAGUAUAUUUUGGUGAGACAGCAGGGAGGGGAAAUAGAGGGCAGCUUCUUGCUGGGUGAGGAAAUUAAAUAUAAAAACCUAGAGCUGAAUUGCCACUAAACUGGAAUUUUACCAUAUUUGAGUGCUGUUUAAAAUAGUACUUAACUUGAUUCUCAGAAAAAAUAGCAGCUGCUUAUGUGAGGAAAUGUAGCAACUGUUUAGUAAUAUAAUGCAGCAGAACAGUUUUCUCAGUAGAGAAGCUUUGCAUCUAGCAAGCAGGAGCAGUUCAUCUGUGAACAUGAGUAACUGCCUGUAUUUUGUCUGAGGAGCUGUGUUUUGUUUGCCUGUGACAGCAGAGUUAACGGUCCUGUCUUCGUUAGGUGUAUUCCGAGAUGCACAGAAAUCGGGUGAUGUAUUGGAUCCCUUUCCAUCCCCCUGCUAACCCAGCUUUGAAUAUCUGCUUCAGUAUAAGCACCGUGCAAGGGCGGGAUCCUUUCUCUGAUGUUCUUAAGCUCCCAAGGAGGAGGAAGGCUUCCUUGUAUCCCAGGGAAUGAUAUCCUGGAAUGCCUUCUGGCUCAGCAUGUGUGCCUUAAGUGUACCGUGAGCUCCCACUCAGAACCUCUGCCGUGAUUUAAUGCUGCAUGGGAGAUCACCUGCCAUUGCUGUUCUCUUCGAGAUCAGCGAAAGCAUCCUGUUGUUUGCGCCUUGCAACUUAGAUCUCAAACAUCUUUGUGCCUGGUGUAGGGAAAUGAGAGUUUGGUCUUUGGGGCGCAGAGGACAGUGCACCUGCAUGCAUCCUUGCAGGGGUUAGUGCGCUGCCAGGGCCCUGGGGUGCCUGGGAUGGCCCUCCUUUUCCUCCGGUGGAAUUCUGGUAAGGAGGAAGGGAGCUGGCCUGGCACAAAAGACCCCAGUGACAGCGCUGAGCAUGAGCCGGUUGUUGGUGCCAUCUAGCUGCUCUCCCUGGCAUAGGCGCUUGGCAGGAGCAGGCUGCAGACGGUGGAACUAAUGAGGCUUAAUUAAACAAAGCCUUCAGAAGUAAAUGCUGUGACAUGCUGGCAACAAGUUUACUUUAUGAGUAAGCUUAUUGGUGCUGUAUCUUAGAGAGAAUAAUCGUGCACUUGUUUGAAAGUUGUUCUUGGGCAGUUCCUGCUCUAUCUGGGCUUAUGCAAAGCCUGGGUCGCAGGGUGAAGUUAAUUAAAUCUCAGUGCAGCUGAGCUGACUGUAUAGACUGGCUGCUGCUUCCUUCAGAAGUGGUGUAUGUGACAGGCAAAGGCAGAGGUCAUCGUGAUACGCUACAGCAACUAUCAGUGUAGUAAGUGAUUAAUGCUGAACUGCCUGGUGGUUUUCUCAGUUUGAUUUGGAAAGCUUUUGCUGCUCUUUCCCACCUCGGCCAGUUUACCAGCAAGGCUUUUCUCAAAAGCAGGUCCCCAUUUAAGCAGCUGUUGCUGAGCUGGCUCUCAAGGAAACUUGCCUCCUGAAGGAUUUUUCUGACAUUUCUUUGAUCAAAGGAGCCCUUUUGCUUACAGCGUGGCUUUAGUUACAAAGUGAUGGAUGGGAUCUUCUUGCUUCCAAGGCUAAACUGUGCCUUAGUAGGUCAGACCUGGUUCCUAAUACCACAGCGUUCCUCCCUUCAUCGCAAUAGGGGAGAGUCUUGCGGAGUCAUUUUCUUGUCAGUCUGGAGUGAGAGGUCUAUGGAUUCAGAAGAGGAAUAAUUUAGGAGGGAUUAUCCCUGCUCAUUCCUCUAGAGCUGCCCCCAGUUCUGCAGUACCACGAUGCAUGCGAUGGCUGCCUUUCAGCCCCAGCACCUACCAGGCUGUGCCCCCAGCUUUGGCACGCCAGGCGAGGCAGCGGGCUGGGGCUGUCCACCUCUGCUCAGCCCUUGUACGAGAGCAGAGGAGCGAGAAGGAAGAGUUGUUCCUGUGCUUUCGGAGGAAUGGUUGGUAAGGGUAGUGAGGAGACCUCCUGAGGGUGACUGUUCUUUGCUGGCAGGGCUGGGUACUCUGCUGGAAAGAUUUUGCUGUGCUCUUGAUUUUGCUGGUUAAUGUUUUUAGCUGUCAGUUGAUUUCUGAGGUCAUAGCUAAUGUGGAACUACUUAGGAAUUAAAUUUAAAGAAAGAUUUAUGAACUUGAAAGAGAAGCUACCUUAUAUCACUUUACUGAAAAUAGCUGUGUUUAUUCAAGGGGAAAAAAAGCCUAUCAAAGUGAUGUCCAGCAUCCUCUUUCAUUGCACACAUAACCUCCACUGAAAGAAACACCGAAAACUGCUUUUUCUGAUACUUCCAGAAAGAAAAAAACCUUCCAGAUUUGUACAAGGUGGGCCUUUUUGGUCUGUUUUUCCUUUUUUUCCUGUGGACCUGAAGGAAUUUUGUAGCGGAAAGUAAAUACCAGGUUUGCACCACUUGCAGCUGGGCAGCUUGGGACGGGGGGAGCGACUGACUGGGGGUCGUAUAUCUGAGCCGUGACUCAGUGUCUGCGCCAUGAAUUUAGGUGCCUCUUAUUCAGUGAUGGAGCACACUGAAUUUCCAUCCUGAUUUGCAUUGAAGACCCUCAAAUCCCACUUGAAUGUAUGUUAUUUUACCCCUUCAAUUCUAUCACCUAAUUCCCCAGCAACUUACCCUGGCAGCUGCGGGCUCCCAAUGCCAUGCUGUUCAUAGCUCGCAGGGGACGCGGUUUGCGGGCAGAGAAGGAUCUCACCUGUGUGAAAUCCAGAGGCAAUUGGCAAGAGAGGGAAGAGCAGACAGCAGAGCAGCCUGUUUUAUGAGCAGAGAAGGUCUGUCUGCAAGAGCAGAGAGAGCCUGAUUCCCUCAUGUGUCUGGCAGCAAGUCCCAGCCUGGUCAGUGCAGAAGGGAUUGACUGGGAACAGAUGAAGAGCUUCUGAGAGGGAGGAAGGCUUGCAGCAAAAUCCUCCCAGCUCACUCAAGUGCCGGAGGUGAGUGCUGGCUCUUUGUGAGCGGCAGGCUACAAAGAAAGAAAAGUGGGGUGGGAGGCAAGAGGCGGGCGAGGGGGGGAAACCCAAACGCCACGCUGUCAGCAGGAGAUUUGGAAAGGAGUGACAGCUUCAAGCACUUUUCCUUGUGCCGGGUCGUCUGGCUGGAUGUGAGAGCUGGGAGGAUUGCAGUUGGUUCUUCUGAGAUAUCAGCGGAGCAGUAAAAAGGGGUUUUGGAUGCUGAUGUGGACUUGAACAGCUGUGAAACCUCUCAAGGGACUGGAACACUGGGGAACCCAUGGAUGGUUUUUACUCUUCCGCAGAAGGAGGUGGGCAGGAUGUGAUCAAUGACACCAGCAGUAGGAAGAGCUGGCCAGAGGAAGGCAAUUCCAAGUUGUCCUUCCGUGCGGUGGCAGCUGCUUUACUUCUCCUUCUCAUCCUCCUCACGCUCCUGGGCAACACCCUGGUGUGUGUGGCUGUGGUCAAGUUCAGACAUCUGCGCUCUAAGGUCACCAAUUUCUUCGUUAUCUCCUUGGCAGUGUCUGACCUCUUUGUGGCUGUGCUGGUGAUGCCCUGGAAGGCUGCCACCGAGGUGGUGGGGUUCUGGCCCUUUGGGGCUUUCUGUGAUGUUUGGGUAGCUUUUGAUAUCAUGUGCUCCACAGCCUCUAUCCUCAAUUUGUGCAUCAUCAGCGUGGACCGUUACUGGGCUAUUUCCAACCCCUUCCGCUAUGAGAGGAAGAUGACGCAGCGUGUGGCUUUUGUCAUGAUUGGAGUGGCUUGGCUACUGUCCCUCUUGAUUUCCUUCAUCCCUGUGCAGCUGAAGUGGCACAAGGAUCGUGAGCUCCUUAGCCAACGGGAGCCAAGUUUUAAUGUCACCGGCGGGGAGGGGAACUGUGAUACCAGCCUCAACAGGACUUAUGCCAUCUCGUCUUCUCUCAUUAGCUUCUACAUCCCUGUUGCCAUCAUGAUUGUGACGUACACCCGCAUCUUCCGCAUUGCCCAGCGGCAGAUCCGCAGGAUCUCCUCUCUGGAGAGGGCGGUGGAACAUGCCCAAAACUGCCACAGCAGCGACUGCUCUCACGAGGUCUCCCUGAAGAGCUCCUUCAAGAAGGAGACCAAGGUCCUCAAGACCCUCUCCAUCAUCAUGGGUGUCUUUGUCUUCUGCUGGCUGCCCUUCUUCGUCCUCAACUGCAUGGUGCCCUUCUGUAAUCUUGACCUACGUGAGCCAGGAGAGCUACCUUGUGUCAGCGAGACUGUCUUCAACAUCUUCGUCUGGUUUGGGUGGGCCAACUCUUCCCUCAACCCUAUCAUCUAUGCCUUCAAUGCAGAAUUCCGGAGAGCUUUUGCAACCAUCUUGGGCUGUGGCUGCCUUUGCCCCAGCAAUGCGGUGGAGACAGUGAACUUCAGCAACGAGCUGGUCUCCUACCACCAUGACACCACGUAUCAGAAGGAAGUAGUGACCCUCAGCUACCCCCAGCUUCUCCCCCACACUGCUCUGCAGAUGGAAAGCAACGAGGUGUCCUUUGACAAAGUUUCUCAGGUCUCCGAGCCCUCUCACGACACCUGCCCUGCGGAUGCCUUGCCUGCGGUGAUGCACGUGGAGUGCGAAAUGGCCGUCUCUCUGGAAAAGAUUAUGCCUUCCACCAGCAACGCGUUCCAUUGAGACGGGGUUGGGAACAGGGUGAUGGGAUGGUUUCGGGGAGAGAUGGAAGCAGGGACACUACUGCAGUUGCCUGUUUUCUGAGGAGUUUGAGGAUAAUGUGGAUAUUAUACUCUCUGUCUGGGCAGGGGUUUGCAUUAAUAAGCGUGGAACAGCCAGAGUGAUUUUCCAGACGGCUCAAGGGGUUCAGAUAUGUGUUUUUGUAACUCACAGUUUCAGAUCCAGCCCAGGUGGGCAGAAGAAUCUGCGUUGCUGCUCCCUCUAGUUGACCCACAGAAGAAUGCCUUCUGCAAAAGACAAAAUGCAAGGGCUCGAAUUCCACUUUCCACGUGGCUUCAGCUGAGAAAGCAGAGACUUGUGUGGUCUCCUGAGCCUCUCCUCCCUAGUCCAUGAAGUGAAAACACAGCUGUGCUUGUGGGGAGAGAGGCUGGUUUUCCCACUGCCCGUGUCCAAAAGGCCAUCAGCCCAAGGCUGCUAAAUGGGCACACGCCAAAUGCGACAGCUUAUUUGGUGAUAACUGCCACUGGCAGAACUAGAUAAUGCUGCCUGGUGCUCGAUGGAAUGGUGCUGUGCUGCGUAGCAGCCUUGAGCUAGGGAAACCCACGUUUUUGGUGGGCUGUGCAGGAAGGAGGUAACGGCCUUGCUGGGAUAACUCGCUUAAGCUCACCUCUGACUGUCUCUCUGUUGCUCGGGCAAAUUAUCCUGCAAGUCUGGACUAGUGUGCAGCCACCUUUCCUGGAGCCCUGAGGCUGUGCUUGGUAGCAGCUUGUCAGGAGCGUGUUGCCAGACAUUUGCUCUCGCUCAUUAGGGAGGGAUUUGGCAUGCUAAAGGUCUGCUCUGGCCCCUGGAGCAAGAGCCAGCCUCUCUAGGCUGGGACGUGCACAGCUGAGGGCGGUCUAGGGUGAACAUAAAUUGUGUUUUAGCCCCAGGACGCUGGACCGUUUGCUUGGAGCCUUUGGGAAUGAGGGUGCCUGAGCCCUUCAGACUCUGAGGGUAGAGGAGAAAAUCAGAUGUUAAAGCAAGAACGUUGCUGUUUUGGUUUCUGCGCCUCCGCCACAUCUUCCAUCAGUCAGGUCCCCCCCCUUCCUAGGCUGUUUCUUCUCCCUUUUACUUUGUUCUCCCUCUAAUUCCCUUCCUCCCCCAUUUCAUUAAGGAUCCUUCCUCACUGCCUCCCUUGCUGUCUCAUUUCAAUAAUAAUGGCUUCUUAAGAAGCACUCCUUCCUCACCUGUACUCUUUAAUUAGCCUCUCCUGUGGGUAUGGGAGCUUGUGUCUGGUUAGCUGGGGGUAGAAACAGCCAGUGAACAGCCCCCAGCAUUUCACUGCCGGCGGUGACACGAGUGACUUUAGAAACUUGUUUUGAUUGGUGCCUGGUUAAACACUGCCGCAGCGAGCAGCACAUCCAUGUCGUCUUGAAUCUGAGACAUCUUUAGCUCUCUGGCACGGCAGAAAAGCCUCUCCCCCUCCCCAGCAAACGUUAACAAAGAGAAAAAUCAGAAAGCGAUAAUUACAGAGUAACGGUAAUUAUUAAAUAGAGCCCAAUUACAGUCAAGUUACAGCAUAAUCAGCGUGGGAGAGGAGCAGAGCUCACCGUACCUCCGAGGUCGACACUUGGAUUUUUCUGGGGAAGCACUGAUAAGUCUCAGCUUCAUCUGUAACCAUCUCCCCAUGUGGCAGUGGGGGCUAGCUGUCAAAACAGACCAGUCUUGGGGCUUUUUAGCUCUGGGAGGACGGUGGAGCCUAACUUAGAGAAGGAGUUGUUCUGAGAUGGGGACGAUCAUCUGGCACGUUUCUAGGAGGCCCAACAGGACUGAUCUCAUUUGAAGGUUGCUGCAGUAUAUAUAAUGAUUUCCCACACUAAAAGCAGGUGUUGUAGCACAUGUUUUAUGGUUGUGCUUUACUUGUGGACUCCUGGCUUGGUGGCGAGGAGGAGUCAGAAUACCCAGCUUUUUUCAAAGCAGUGCUAGCCUGGCCUCCAUGUUCUUGGAGAAUUUACUGAUACUCAUCUUGUGGUAAGGUUCUGGGGCUUAAUCCACGACUGUUUAAAGAGAUCGGAGAAAAGCAAGUAGUUCAAUGUAUUGCUAUUGUCAAUGACGAGUUGCAGGGUGAACCUGCAAAAGACAAUGGAGAGGGUGACACGACCCUUUUCUUCGUCCAGUUAUUGUGUCUGCAUUUACCUGGCGUUGGGGAACGCUGCAACAGUCCCCAGCUCCAAAGCACUGGGGCUGUCCUCUACCAACGGUGCAGCGCACCGGCUCCCUCCGGCUGGACCUCUUACCGGGACUCCUGGCCUGGCUGGUCAUACGGAUGGCCGAUACCGUCCUGCCAUCUGCAUCAGGAGAGACGAAGAGGUGACAAUGAGCUAACCCAAAAACUUCCAGGUUAUGGAACGGGCCUCUGCACAUUGCAGACAUUUCUGUGGUCAGUCUGGGAAAUGGACAACAGCUCCAAAACGGUGUCACUCAGGCUUGCUUGGGCAAAAACACUAGUUUAUUUUGCUUCAGAAUGCUCUUUUUGUCCUGCUAUGGAUUUCCUGCACAGGUUUCCUCCGCAGUUCCACCAGGAAGCAUCCUCCUCCGACCAUCCUAAAGUCAGGCAGCAUACUGCUGCAUCCCUGCCUGUAUUUCAGAGUUCCUGCUGCAAUGAUGAACAGCAAGCACCCUGGAGACACAGGAGAUUGCCCAAAACUGCUGCUGGGGAGUCUGCCGUGGAGAGCAUGGCCUGUGGUUCAUCUCUGCUCGCAGAAGAACUGCGCUAAGGAAAACGAGCAAGUAGGUGUCCCAACUUCAAAGCUCUUCUAGCUGGUACCCACCGCCUCCACAGACCGGGGCCUCCUGUCCGCUGCCACCCUGGCGCUGCGCUGCAUGGAUGG